Molecule: ribosomal RNA, 1521 nt
Filed under: Klebsiella pneumoniae
Lineage: Bacteria; Pseudomonadati; Pseudomonadota; Gammaproteobacteria; Enterobacterales; Enterobacteriaceae
Description: bacterial SSU rRNA
Rfam family: Bacterial small subunit ribosomal RNA
Source: RNAcentral
AGAGUUUGAUCAUGGCUCAGAUUGAACGCUGGCGGCAGGCCUAACACAUGCAAGUCGAGCGGUAGCACAGAGAGCUUGCUCUCGGGUGACGAGCGGCGGACGGGUGAGUAAUGUCUGGGAAACUGCCUGAUGGAGGGGGAUAACUACUGGAAACGGUAGCUAAUACCGCAUAACGUCGCAAGACCAAAGUGGGGGACCUUCGGGCCUCAUGCCAUCAGAUGUGCCCAGAUGGGAUUAGCUAGUAGGUGGGGUAACGGCUCACCUAGGCGACGAUCCCUAGCUGGUCUGAGAGGAUGACCAGCCACACUGGAACUGAGACACGGUCCAGACUCCUACGGGAGGCAGCAGUGGGGAAUAUUGCACAAUGGGCGCAAGCCUGAUGCAGCCAUGCCGCGUGUGUGAAGAAGGCCUUCGGGUUGUAAAGCACUUUCAGCGGGGAGGAAGGCGUUAAGGUUAAUAACCUUGNNCGAUUGACGUUACCCGCAGAAGAAGCACCGGCUAACUCCGUGCCAGCAGCCGCGGUAAUACGGAGGGUGCAAGCGUUAAUCGGAAUUACUGGGCGUAAAGCGCACGCAGGCGGUCUGUCAAGUCGGAUGUGAAAUCCCCGGGCUCAACCUGGGAACUGCAUUCGAAACUGGCAGGCUAGAGUCUUGUAGAGGGGGGUAGAAUUCCAGGUGUAGCGGUGAAAUGCGUAGAGAUCUGGAGGAAUACCGGUGGCGAAGGCGGCCCCCUGGACAAAGACUGACGCUCAGGUGCGAAAGCGUGGGGAGCAAACAGGAUUAGAUACCCUGGUAGUCCACGCCGUAAACGAUGUCGAUUUGGAGGUUGUGCCCUUGAGGCGUGGCUUCCGGAGCUAACGCGUUAAAUCGACCGCCUGGGGAGUACGGCCGCAAGGUUAAAACUCAAAUGAAUUGACGGGGGCCCGCACAAGCGGUGGAGCAUGUGGUUUAAUUCGAUGCAACGCGAAGAACCUUACCUGGUCUUGACAUCCACAGAACUUUCCAGAGAUGGAUUGGUGCCUUCGGGAACUGUGAGACAGGUGCUGCAUGGCUGUCGUCAGCUCGUGUUGUGAAAUGUUGGGUUAAGUCCCGCAACGAGCGCAACCCUUAUCCUUUGUUGCCAGCGGUUAGGCCGGGAACUCAAAGGAGACUGCCAGUGAUAAACUGGAGGAAGGUGGGGAUGACGUCAAGUCAUCAUGGCCCUUACGACCAGGGCUACACACGUGCUACAAUGGCAUAUACAAAGAGAAGCGACCUCGCGAGAGCAAGCGGACCUCAUAAAGUAUGUCGUAGUCCGGAUUGGAGUCUGCAACUCGACUCCAUGAAGUCGGAAUCGCUAGUAAUCGUAGAUCAGAAUGCUACGGUGAAUACGUUCCCGGGCCUUGUACACACCGCCCGUCACACCAUGGGAGUGGGUUGCAAAAGAAGUAGGUAGCUUAACCUUCGGGAGGGCGCUUACCACUUUGUGAUUCAUGACUGGGGUGAAGUCGUAACAAGGUAACCGUAGGGGAACCUGCGGUUG